RNAcentral lists this ribosomal RNA (229 nucleotides) under uncultured bacterium. RNAcentral's name for it is "partial 16S ribosomal RNA". It matches the Rfam family "Bacterial small subunit ribosomal RNA", at positions 15 to 235 of the family's 1533-position model. The record is from RNAcentral.
GAUCCUGACUCAGGAUGAACGCUAGCUACAGGCUUAACACAUGCAAGUCGAGGGGCAGCAUGGUCUUAGCUUGCUAAGGCCGAUGGCGACCGGCGCACGGGUGAGUAACACGUAUCCAACCUGCCGUCUACUCUUGGACAGCCUUCUGAAAGGAAGAUUAAUACAAGAUGGCAUCAUGAGUCCGCAUGUUCACAUGAUUAAAGGUAUUCCGGUAGACGAUGGGGGUNCG